Molecule: long non-coding RNA, 513 nt
Filed under: Nicotiana benthamiana
Lineage: Eukaryota; Viridiplantae; Streptophyta; Magnoliopsida; Solanales; Solanaceae
Description: long non-coding RNA (NBEN_LNC039757)
Source: RNAcentral
UUUAUUACUCAAUGUAUCUAGAACAUUUAAUCAAAGGAAGCCCACUAAAGUUUGCAAAAAAAUUGAGAAAAAUGUAUCUCUCGUGCAUAUAUAGCUAACCAAUGAAUAUGACACUUUGUUGUGGAAGAUUAAUUUGAUUGCUCUUGAUUUCUCUAUGCUUCCAUUCUGACAUUGAUCGAUAUUUUCCAACGUGUCUUCGCUCUAUGAUUUAAGAUAUACAAGAUUGAGGAAGAAAAGGAGACAAUAUCAUCUUUCUGGAUUGACUGAGUUUUUGUGGUAAUAUAUGGAUGUUUAAGUAGUUGUACCCUUAGCGUAUCUGUAUUCUUGCUCGUUUGUGUUGCUAGUGAUGUCACGACCUGAAAAAAGAAUUUACCUCUAGAAAACUCAUUUUAAGGUCAUUUAUUAAAUAUUUAAACCAGAGCCCGUAAAAAACUUAUAACACGGAUAAUAUAGAAGUUCUUUAAACUGCGAGUGCAGCUUAACGAUAUAUCAGCACAAAAGCAAAAUGCAAAA